CCUACGGGAGGCAGCAGUAAGGAAUAUUGGUCAAUGGACGAAAGUCUGAACCAGCCAUGCCGCGUGAAGGAUUAAGGCCCUCUGGGUUGUAAACUUCUUUUAUCUGGGACGAAAAAAGGGUAUUCUUACUCACUUGACGGUACCAGAGGAAUAAGCACCGGCUAACUCCGUGCCAGCAGCCGCGGUAAUACGGAGGGUGCAAGCGUUAUCCGGAUUUACUGGGUUUAAAGGGUGCGUAGGUGGGCUUGUAAGUCAGUGGUGAAAUCUCCGGGCUUAACCCGGAAACUGCCAUUAAUACUAUAGGUCUUGAAUUAUCUGGAGGUAAGCGGAAUAUGUCAUGUAGCGGUGAAAUGCUUAGAUAUGACAUAGAACACCAAUUGCGAAGGCAGCUUACUACGGAUAUAUUGACACUGAGGCACGAAAGCGUGGGGAUCAAACAGGAUUAGAUACCCUGGUAGUCCACGACCUAACGAUAGAUACUACACAUACAGCGAUACACUAGUUGUGU
RNAcentral lists this ribosomal RNA (508 nucleotides) under uncultured bacterium. Its description in RNAcentral is "bacterial SSU rRNA". It matches the Rfam family "Bacterial small subunit ribosomal RNA", at positions 338 to 844 of the family's 1533-position model. The record is from RNAcentral.